GAAAAAGUUUGGCCGCGGAUAUAAUUUACAUUUAAAUUUUUACAAUCGCAUUUGAAGGAGUGGCGUUAUAAUUUUAUUUUAGUGACCCGGGAUUAGAAAGUCUGAGCGAAAUCAGAUGACAAUGGAAUCAUUUGCUUAAAAUGGGUCUUAAAGUAAAUGGGGAAGAUUCAAACAAAGUUUCAUUAAAAUUUUAUUUUUUGAUACCAUUAGACAAUUUUUCAUAUGAAUUUGAAGAGUGAGUUUAAUAUGUGUUGGCUAAUUUUCGUGAACGUAAUUUAAUUUUUUUCUAAUAAGAACAAUUGCCACAUUUCUGUUCUUGUCUGCUUCUGAAAGUGGAAUACCAUUGUACCAUUGAGAAGAUGUUCGAGACGCACGUCAGAAUUUUGGGACUGGGUUCAACGAAUUCGAACUAGAUGAGGCAGCAGAAAGAAAAUUCCAGGGGCAACCUCGG
This is a long non-coding RNA of Cimex lectularius (bed bug), 451 nucleotides long. RefSeq lists it as uncharacterized. The transcript is spliced from 3 exons. The record is from RefSeq and is a predicted model, not a curated record. NCBI's taxonomy places the organism in Eukaryota, Metazoa, Arthropoda, Insecta, Hemiptera, Cimicidae.